Molecule: ribosomal RNA, 577 nt
Filed under: uncultured bacterium
Lineage: Bacteria
Description: partial 16S ribosomal RNA
Rfam family: Bacterial small subunit ribosomal RNA
Source: RNAcentral
UAAGGAAUAUUGGACAAUGGACGCAAGUCUGAUCCAGCCAUGCCGCGUGAAGGAUGACUGCCCUCUGGGUUGUAAACUUCUUUUAUAGGGGAAGAAAGUUAUUUUUUAGGAUAUUUGACGGUACCCUAUGAAUAAGCACCGGCUAACUCCGUGCCAGCAGCCGCGGUAAUACGGAGGGUGCAAGCGUUAUCCGGAUUCACUGGGUUUAAAGGGUGCGUAGGCGGGUAUGUAAGUCAGUGGUGAAAUACCGGAGCUUAACUUCGGAACUGCCAUUGAUACUAUAUAUCUUGAAUAUUGUGGAGGUAAGCGGAAUAUGUCAUGUAGCGGUGAAAUGCUUAGAGAUGACAUAGAACACCGAUUGCGAAGGCAGCUUGCUACGCAAAUAUUGACGCUGAGGCACGAAAGCGUGGGGAUCAAACAGGAUUAGAUACCCUGGUAGUCCACGCCCUAAACGAUGAUUACUCGACAUUAGCGAUACACAGUUAGUGUCUGAGCGAAAGCAUUAAGUAAUCCACCUGGGAAGUACGACCGCAAGGUUGAAACUCAAAUGAAUUGACGGGGUCAUAGCUGUUUUCCU